GGUGCGAUAUGUUAAAUUAAUUUUUAUAUGUACCUGCGUCCAGAGAGUAAAAACCCUUGCAACUCUCCUCGCUUGUAGCAGGAACCUCAUCCUACUUCAAACAAAAAGCUGCUUCAACCACAAAAACCUCAUCCGUUUAAAAUUACAGUAACUCAUGAAUGUGUUCAAAAUUGGAAAUCCAUCAACAUUUUUAUCUUUUCACGAUCUGGUCCUUCUCUCAAUUCCCCCUUAAUCAGAAUUUCUGAUCAAACCUAAAAAAACUAUUGAACGCGUUUAAAAUGCUUCAAUCUCUCUCUCUCUAUUGAAGAUCCGCGAUUCAAUCCCUCUCUCAAUUUGAAUCCCAAAUCAAUUUCACUUUCAAUUCAGAUCACUAUAACUUCUUCUCUCAAUUAAGAAUGACUCUCAACUCCUCUCUCUAUUGCAGCAUAGGUGGUGGUACAAUGUUCAUCAAUUCAAUAUUGUCACUAAGAUUUUCUUUGGAAGGUUUGUCACUAAGAUUUUCUUUGGAAGGUUUUGGAUAUCAACAAGAGUAGAGGUACUUGGAGAUUGGAGAUGAUUCAAGAGAGAUGUCAUUAAACUUUCUUCAAACAUGGUUCUAAAUUAACUAUCCAUACCAAAUCACUUCCCAAAUAGUGUGAUAGAUGUUUUUAGUUAAAAUCAUAAUAAUAUCUCAUCUUAAUGUGCGACUUGAGUAGAAGAUGAAUAAGUUUACAAGUGUCAUUUCUUCCAUCUUAUUAUUAAUAGUUUUGCUUGAUUCCUCAUACUUUAAUAUAUAAAAAAUCUUGUUAUAGGCAAAAUAUUGGGCUAGUUCUGCUACACAAUCAAUGAUUGAUAGUUUAUCUUAAUAUUUAUGUAGUUGCGAGAUUGUCAAUUUGUAUUAAUUGAAUCCUAUUAGAUGGUCUAACUAAACUCAACUUAUUAUGUAAGCACAUGUGGCUUCUAAGUUUGCUAACUUGGGAAGAUGUAAGCUACUACGUUUAUCUUAUUAUUUCUAUGGUCAAUAAUCAUAAUAAUCACUAGCGUAAAAUUCAGCUGAAGAUUGUGAAUAGGAAGCUAAGGGCUACAAAUAAACUUUCGAUAGAGAUUGAUAGGAUGAAUAUAUCAUGUAAAUGUAUAAUACUAAAGAAUAUUCUAUAUAUACAUUUGUACUUGAUUUAUACA
Lathyrus oleraceus (garden pea) is the source of this 1161-nucleotide long non-coding RNA. RefSeq lists it as uncharacterized. The transcript is spliced from 2 exons. The record is from RefSeq and is a predicted model, not a curated record. NCBI's taxonomy places the organism in Eukaryota, Viridiplantae, Streptophyta, Magnoliopsida, Fabales, Fabaceae.